GUCCACGCAGUAACUAUGAUUACUAGUUGUUGCGAUAUGAUAGCAAGUGACUAAGCGAAGCGAUAAGUAAUCCACCUGGGGAGUACGCCGGCAACGGUGAAACUCAAAGGAAUUGACGGGGCCCGCACAAGCGGAGGAACAUGUGGUUUAAUUCGAUGAUACGCGAGGAACCUUACCCGGGCUUGAAAUGCAUCUAACUGUAGUGGAAACAUUACUCUAGCAAUAGCAGAUGUGUAGGUGCUGCAUGGUUGUCGU
Molecule: ribosomal RNA, 255 nt
Filed under: uncultured bacterium
Lineage: Bacteria
Description: partial 16S ribosomal RNA
Rfam family: Bacterial small subunit ribosomal RNA
Source: RNAcentral